Molecule: ribosomal RNA, 2187 nt
Filed under: Escherichia coli STEC_MHI813
Lineage: Bacteria; Pseudomonadati; Pseudomonadota; Gammaproteobacteria; Enterobacterales; Enterobacteriaceae
Description: bacterial LSU rRNA
Rfam family: Bacterial large subunit ribosomal RNA
Source: RNAcentral
CACUAACUGGAGGACCGAACCGACUAAUGUUGAAAAAUUAGCGGAUGACUUGUGGCUGGGGGUGAAAGGCCAAUCAAACCGGGAGAUAGCUGGUUCUCCCCGAAAGCUAUUUAGGUAGCGCCUCGUGAAUUCAUCUCCGGGGGUAGAGCACUGUUUCGGCAAGGGGGUCAUCCCGACUUACCAACCCGAUGCAAACUGCGAAUACCGGAGAAUGUUAUCACGGGAGACACACGGCGGGUGCUAACGUCCGUCGUGAAGAGGGAAACAACCCAGACCGCCAGCUAAGGUCCCAAAGUCAUGGUUAAGUGGGAAACGAUGUGGGAAGGCCCAGACAGCCAGGAUGUUGGCUUAGAAGCAGCCAUCAUUUAAAGAAAGCGUAAUAGCUCACUGGUCGAGUCGGCCUGCGCGGAAGAUGUAACGGGGCUAAACCAUGCACCGAAGCUGCGGCAGCGACACUGUGUGUUGUUGGGUAGGGGAGCGUUCUGUAAGCCUGUGAAGGUGUACUGUGAGGUAUGCUGGAGGUAUCAGAAGUGCGAAUGCUGACAUAAGUAACGAUAAAGCGGGUGAAAAGCCCGCUCGCCGGAAGACCAAGGGUUCCUGUCCAACGUUAAUCGGGGCAGGGUGAGUCGACCCCUAAGGCGAGGCCGAAAGGCGUAGUCGAUGGGAAACAGGUUAAUAUUCCUGUACUUGGUGUUACUGCGAAGGGGGGACGGAGAAGGCUAUGUUGGCCGGGCGACGGUUGUCCCGGUUUAAGCGUGUAGGCUGGUUUUCCAGGCAAAUCCGGAAAAUCAAGGCUGAGGCGUGAUGACGAGGCACUACGGUGCUGAAGCAACAAAUGCCCUGCUUCCAGGAAAAGCCUCUAAGCAUCAGGUAACAUCAAAUCGUACCCCAAACCGACACAGGUGGUCAGGUAGAGAAUACCAAGGCGCUUGAGAGAACUCGGGUGAAGGAACUAGGCAAAAUGGUGCCGUAACUUCGGGAGAAGGCACGCUGAUAUGUAGGUGAAGUCCCUCGCGGAUGGAGCUGAAAUCAGUCGAAGAUACCAGCUGGCUGCAACUGUUUAUUAAAAACACAGCACUGUGCAAACACGAAAGUGGACGUAUACGGUGUGACGCCUGCCCGGUGCCGGAAGGUUAAUUGAUGGGGUCAGCGCAAGCGAAGCUCUUGAUCGAAGCCCCGGUAAACGGCGGCCGUAACUAUAACGGUCCUAAGGUAGCGAAAUUCCUUGUCGGGUAAGUUCCGACCUGCACGAAUGGCGUAAUGAUGGCCAGGCUGUCUCCACCCGAGACUCAGUGAAAUUGAACUCGCUGUGAAGAUGCAGUGUACCCGCGGCAAGACGGAAAGACCCCGUGAACCUUUACUAUAGCUUGACACUGAACAUUGAGCCUUGAUGUGUAGGAUAGGUGGGAGGCUUUGAAGUGUGGACGCCAGUCUGCAUGGAGCCGACCUUGAAAUACCACCCUUUAAUGUUUGAUGUUCUAACGUGGACCCGUGAUCCGGGUUGCGGACAGUGUCUGGUGGGUAGUUUGACUGGGGCGGUCUCCUCCUAAAGAGUAACGGAGGAGCACGAAGGUUGGCUAAUCCUGGUCGGACAUCAGGAGGUUAGUGCAAUGGCAUAAGCCAGCUUGACUGCGAGCGUGACGGCGCGAGCAGGUGCGAAAGCAGGUCAUAGUGAUCCGGUGGUUCUGAAUGGAAGGGCCAUCGCUCAACGGAUAAAAGGUACUCCGGGGAUAACAGGCUGAUACCGCCCAAGAGUUCAUAUCGACGGCGGUGUUUGGCACCUCGAUGUCGGCUCAUCACAUCCUGGGGCUGAAGUAGGUCCCAAGGGUAUGGCUGUUCGCCAUUUAAAGUGGUACGCGAGCUGGGUUUAGAACGUCGUGAGACAGUUCGGUCCCUAUCUGCCGUGGGCGCUGGAGAACUGAGGGGGGCUGCUCCUAGUACGAGAGGACCGGAGUGGACGCAUCACUGGUGUUCGGGUUGUCAUGCCAAUGGCACUGCCCGGUAGCUAAAUGCGGAAGAGAUAAGUGCUGAAAGCAUCUAAGCACGAAACUUGCCCCGAGAUGAGUUCUCCCUGACCCUUUAAGGGUCCUGAAGGAACGUUGAAGACGACGACGUUGAUAGGCCGGGUGUGUAAGCGCAGCGAUGCGUUGAGCUAACCGGUACUAAUGAACCGUGAGGCUUAACCUU